RNAcentral lists this ribosomal RNA (388 nucleotides) under uncultured bacterium. Its description in RNAcentral is "bacterial SSU rRNA". It matches the Rfam family "Bacterial small subunit ribosomal RNA", at positions 30 to 431 of the family's 1533-position model. The record is from RNAcentral.
AUUGAACGCUGGCGGCAUGCCUAACACAUGCAAGUCGAACGGGGUAGCAAUACCCAGUGGCGGACGGGUGAGGAAUACAUAGGAAUUUGCCUUUAGGUGGGGGAUAGCCCGGGGAAACUCGGAGUAAUACCGCAUGAUGUCGAAAGACCAAAGUAGGGGAUCGCAAGACCUUGCGCCUUUAGAGAAGCCUAUGUCUGAUUAGCUAGUUGGUAGGGUAAUGGCCUACCAAGGCGACGANCAGUAACUGGUCUGAGAGGACGAUCAGUCACACCGGAACUGAGACACGGUCCGGACUCCUACGGGAGGCAGCAGUGGGGAAUUUUCCGCAAUGGGCGAAAGCCUGACGGAGUGACGCCGCGUGUGGGACGAAGGCCUUCGGUCGUAAACC